RNAcentral lists this non-coding RNA (90 nucleotides) under Corchorus capsularis. The record is from RNAcentral. Lineage: Eukaryota; Viridiplantae; Streptophyta; Magnoliopsida; Malvales; Malvaceae.
UGAUCGCCGAGCUUGGUAACGCAAGCUUAAGUGUUCCUAGAGGGAUAGACACCGCGUGAGGCUGGCUUCACAGAGCAGCCAACUCUUUGC